CCUACGGGGGGCAGCAGUGGGGACUAUUGGGCCAUGGGCGCAAGCCUGACCCCGCAACGCCGCGUGAAGGAAGCAGGCUUUCGUGUUGUAAACUUCUUUUCUGGGGGACGAACAAAUGACUGUAUCCCAGGAAUAAGCCACGGCUAACUACGUGCCAGCUGCCGCGUUACUACGUAGGUGGCAAGAGUUAUCCGGAUUGAUUGGUUGUAAAGGGCGUGUAGGCGGGAAGGAAAGCCAGAUGUGAAAACUAUGGGCGAAACCCAGAACUUGCAUUUGAAACUGUAUUUCUUGAGUUCUGGAGAGGCAAUCGGAAUUCCGUGUGUAGCGGUGAAAUGCGUAGAUAUACGGAGGAACACCAGUGGCGAAGGCGGAUUGCUGGACAGUAACUGACGCUGAGGCGCGAAAGCGUGGGGAGCACACAGGAUUAGAUACCCCUGUAGUC
RNAcentral lists this ribosomal RNA (442 nucleotides) under uncultured bacterium. RNAcentral describes it as "partial 16S ribosomal RNA". It matches the Rfam family "Bacterial small subunit ribosomal RNA", at positions 338 to 795 of the family's 1533-position model. The record is from RNAcentral.